UGCAGUCGAGCGAUGGAUUAAGAGCUUGCUCUUAUGAAGUUAGCGGCGGACGGGUGAGUAACACGUGGGUAACCUGCCCAUAAGACUGGGAUAACUCCGGGAAACCGGGGCUAAUACCGGAUAAYAUUUUGAACYGCAUGGUUCGAAAUUGAAAGGCGGCUUCGGCUGUCACUUAUGGAUGGACCCGCGUCGCAUUAGCUAGUUGGUGAGGUAACGGCUCACCAAGGCAACGAUGCGUAGCCGACCUGAGAGGGUGAUCGGCCACACUGGGACUGAGACACGGCCCAGACUCCUACGGGAGGCAGCAGUAGGGAAUCUUCCGCAAUGGACGAAAGUCUGACGGAGCAACGCCGCGUGAGUGAUGAAGGCUUUCGGGUCGUAAAACUCUGUUGUUAGGGAAGAACAAGUGCUAGUUGAAUAWKYUGGCACCUUGACGGUACCUAACCAGAAAGCCACGGCUAACUACGUGCCAGCAGCCGCGGUAAUACGUAGGUGGCAAGCGUUAUCCGGAAUUAUUGGGCGU
Molecule: ribosomal RNA, 523 nt
Filed under: Bacillus sp. RZ3MS21
Lineage: Bacteria; Bacillati; Bacillota; Bacilli; Caryophanales; Bacillaceae
Description: bacterial SSU rRNA
Rfam family: Bacterial small subunit ribosomal RNA
Source: RNAcentral